GUGAGAUUCUGCGACCAUGCUGAGUAUCAGUUACAGCCACGUGUCUGCUGAUGCUGGAGGUUCCUCGCUCUGUUCGUGACGUCAUCUGGGGGCCCUGACUGGCUGCAAGAGGCUGUGAGGUUCUCGGACACCCUGCAGCUGGGAUCGAAGCUUCUCUUCCAGCAAGUCUGGUAUCGAAGGCACGGCUGUGUUUUCUGCGAUGCCUGCGGAAGGGAGACAGGUUACUCCAACAAGGAAGAAUGGAGCAACUGAGUUACUGAGCUGUCCAAUUUCCACCCAAUGGAGAGGCCGAACUGUCUCUACUGCGAGGACUUACAGAGAUGGUGGAAGAACAACAGAAGGUGGGCUUACAAGCACCUCCCCUGCAUUGCUCAGUAUGUCCAGCACAGCCUCUUUAGCUAUGAGGUCCCUCCUAGAGGACACAAGGCACCUAGAAAAGGGAAUGAGAAGUGGUAAAUUUUUUGUUCCCAUCUUUAAGUGAAAUGCUCCUGACCCAAACAGUAGUGAGGAAAUGAAAGUUAAUCAGAAUUGAAUUGGGAUUUGGUUUUUACGACCACUGCUAUCGUGGGGAUUCCACUUAACAGUAAUUUUUAUUCGAUCUCUGAACCCUUGGAAUGUAAUCCUUCAUCAAGUUCUGGAAAUUAUUAUAAACCAUUUCAAACAUAAACAAGUUUAGAAAGGGAUAUAAAUAACACCCACAUAGCGCCUCCGUAUUUUGAAAAACUCCAUAGUACGCCAUAGGUGCUUCCCAGUGUGUGCAUGUGUGUUUGAAUGAGAAUAUUGCAGAGCUGGGGGAGACCUGCUUAGUACUCACCCCCAACCACUAUCCCUGCCCCCCAAAGAUGACACUGUCUUGAUGGUGCUGUAGACCUUCCCUUCUUGCUGGCACACUCUGACCCUGUAUCUCUA
This is a long non-coding RNA of Zalophus californianus (California sea lion), 909 nucleotides long. RefSeq lists it as uncharacterized. The record is from RefSeq and is a predicted model, not a curated record. The transcript is spliced from 3 exons. NCBI's taxonomy places the organism in Eukaryota, Metazoa, Chordata, Mammalia, Carnivora, Otariidae.